Molecule: non-coding RNA, 26 nt
Filed under: Rattus norvegicus (Norway rat)
Lineage: Eukaryota; Metazoa; Chordata; Mammalia; Rodentia; Muridae
Source: RNAcentral
GGAAUCCAGCUGUCUGCCUGUCCAUC